RNAcentral lists this ribosomal RNA (486 nucleotides) under uncultured bacterium. RNAcentral's name for it is "partial 16S ribosomal RNA". It matches the Rfam family "Bacterial small subunit ribosomal RNA", at positions 28 to 507 of the family's 1533-position model. The record is from RNAcentral.
GAUGAACGCUGGCGGCGUGCCUAAUACAUGCAAGUCGAACGCUGGAACUCUAGCUUGCUAGAUUGAAGGAGUGGCGAACGGGUGAGUAAUACAUAAGCAACCUACCCACGAAGACUGGGAUAAUCUCUGGAAACGGGGACUAAUACCGGAUAGGUAAUCGGAAGGCAUCUUCUGAUUAUUAAAGGUUAAAAACACUGGUGGAUGGGCUUAUGGCGCAUUAGUUAGUUGGUGAGGUAACGGCCCACCAAGACGAUGAUGCGUAGCCGGCCUGAGAGGGUGAACGGCCACAUUGGGACUGAGACACGGCCCAGACUCCUACGGGAGGCAGCAGUAGGGAAGUUUCGGCAAUGGGGGAAACCCUGACCGAGCAACGCCGCGUGAGUGAUGACGGCCUUCGGGGUGUAAAGCUCUGUUGUAAGGGAAGAACGGUAGAUAGAGAAUAUCUAAAUGACGGUACCUUACCAGAAAGCCACGGCUAACUACGUG